GAUGAACGCUGGCGGCGUGCCUAAUACAUGCAAGUCGAGCGAACGGACGAGAAGCUUGCUUCUCUGAUGUUAGCGGCGGACGGGUGAGUAACACGUGGAUAACCUACCUAUAAGACUGGGAUAACUUCGGGAAACCGUAGCUAAUACCGGAUAAUAUUUUGAACCGCAUGGUUCAAAAGUGAAAGACGGUCUUGCUGUCACUUAUAGAUGGAUCCGCGCUGCAUUAGCUAGUUGGUAAGGUAACGGCUUACCAAGGCAACGAUGCAUAGCCGACCUGAGAGGGUGAUCGGCCACACUGGAACUGAGACACGGUCCAGACUCCUACGGGAGGCAGCAGUAGGGAAUCUUCCGCAAAGGGCGAAAGCCUGACGGAGCAACGCCGCGUGAGUGAUGAAGGUCUUCGGAUCGUAAAACUCUGUUAUUAGGGAAGAACAUAUGUGUAAGUAACUAUGCACAUCUUGACGGUACCUAAUCAGAAAGCCACGGCUAACUACGUG
RNAcentral lists this ribosomal RNA (497 nucleotides) under uncultured bacterium. RNAcentral's name for it is "partial 16S ribosomal RNA". It matches the Rfam family "Bacterial small subunit ribosomal RNA", at positions 28 to 507 of the family's 1533-position model. The record is from RNAcentral.